GACGAACGCUGGCGGCGUGCCUAACACAUGCAAGUCGAACGAGGACCAAGGGAGCUUGCUCCCUGAAGACCUAGUGGCGAACGGGUGAGUAACACGUGAGAAACCUGCCCUCGAGUGGGGAAUAACCCGGGGAAACCCGGGCUAAUACCGCAUACGCUCCUCUGGUCGCAUGGCCGGAGGAGGAAAGUUUUUCGCUCAAGGAGGGUCUCGCGGCCUAUCAGCUUGUUGGCGGGGUAACGGCCCACCAAGGCUACGACGGGUAGCUGGUUUGAGAGAACGAUCAGCCACACUGGGACUGAGACACGGCCCAGACUCCUACGGGAGGCAGCAGUGGGGAAUCUUGCGCAAUGGGCGAAAGCCUGACGCAGCAACGCCGCGUGCGGGACGACGGCCUUCGUGGUUGUAAACCGCUUUCAGCAGGGACGAAAAUGACGGUACCUGCAGAAGAAGCUCCGGCUAACUACGUGCCAGCAGCCGCAGUUAA
RNAcentral lists this ribosomal RNA (484 nucleotides) under uncultured bacterium. Its description in RNAcentral is "partial 16S ribosomal RNA". It matches the Rfam family "Bacterial small subunit ribosomal RNA", at positions 28 to 524 of the family's 1533-position model. The record is from RNAcentral.